Long non-coding RNA from Leopardus geoffroyi (Geoffroy's cat), 407 nucleotides. RefSeq lists it as uncharacterized. The transcript has 3 exons. NCBI's taxonomy places the organism in Eukaryota, Metazoa, Chordata, Mammalia, Carnivora, Felidae. The record is from RefSeq and is a predicted model, not a curated record.
ACAAUUUAUCUCCUAGUGUGCAAGUUCCUCCCCUGGUUCCUCAUUGGCUGAGCACUGCAGAGGUUACAGCCUGGCCCAGAUGUCGCCUAUGCCCAUGGAAGGCAAAAAGUAGUCCGAUUGAACGAGUGUACCUUCCCCAUGGUGACACAGAGACUUCAGUUCUUUGGUGCAUCCUCAUUGCAAAGUCCGCAAAAAAUAAGCCCGUGAAACGGGGGGGGGGGGGGGAGAAGAAACCGGAAGUGAAGUGUCUAAGGGCGUGGGGACCAUCCUGGUGGGGGGGGAGGGGUUCAUGCAUAUUUCCACUAUGUUGUAAACCUACUGUCAACCAGACAGCACAGCUUUUAUUUGGUAUUUCUGAAAAUGAAUCAUCUCCCUUACUUCUCACAGAAUGGAAUCAGUCUGGAAUG